Molecule: non-coding RNA, 28 nt
Filed under: Mus musculus (house mouse)
Lineage: Eukaryota; Metazoa; Chordata; Mammalia; Rodentia; Muridae
Source: RNAcentral
UGCCAUUUCUAGCUAAUAGCCUUUCUGA